AUAAUAUUACCUUAAACGUAUCCUUUUUAUACAAACAUGUUUAUUAUCAUAGGACGGAUUUGCGACUGCGUGAGCUGCUAUGAAAAAACAAAAGGGCUUUUUAUUUGAGUGUAAGGGUAUCAAAGACUCUGGUGUUAUCAACCUGCUGCCACAUAUAAAAUGGAAUCAACAGUUCAUGAUUUUUACCUUCACUUGAAUGAAUUCCAUAUCUCCAGGAUGACUAAUUUUGUACAUCUCGUGUUUGCAUUUUGCUUGGGAGCGGUGGCACCUGCUUUGAGCUACCCGGAGACAGCUUUCGCACGACCGGCUCAGCCCUGUCUUGCGCCCUUGCAAUGGGAGGGCAGAUCCGUCGAAUACAACUACGACACUGGGCGAAAUACACGGGCCUCGGUGUCGUAUGAUGCACAGAACCACAGAAUAAGGCUUCUUCAACAGAAUAAAAAACAUACACCAUGCCAGAAAUACUUUGAGUUUAUCUACCUGUACAACAGUGGCCUGCUGUUCCAGAUCGAGCAGAAGACGAAGCAGUGUUCUAAGAUCCCCUUGACCCAGGCCUGGGACCCCUUUGACAUCCCUAUGAACUCCACCUAUGAGGACCAGUACUUUAUCGGUGGACCUGGAGACAUGAUCGAGGUGCAGGAGUGGUCAGAUAGGAAACCAUCCCGCAAAAAUGAGGCGUGGGUGGGUGUCUACACAGUGAAGGACUGCUACCCUGUCCAGGAGACCUACGCCAGGAACAGCAGCAUCACUACCUCUACCCGCUUCUUUGACCUCCAGCUGGGCAUCAGCGACCCGGAAGUCUUCACACCGCCCAGCAGCUGCCAGUCGGCCCGCCCAGAGAGGAUGGGCUCCGAUUGCUGAGGCCUUCACCUUUCCCCUUUGACCCCAUGCUCUUUGACCCCAUGCUCUCAGUUUUCACAUUUCCCCCACUUUACAUUUUUUUAUUGAACCUUUAUUUAACUAGGCAAGUCAGUUCAGAACUAAUUCUUAUUUUACAAUGAUGGCCUACCCCGGCCAAACCCACCUCUAACCCGGAUGCCGCUGGGCCAUUUGUGCACCGACCUAUGGCACUCCCGAUCACGGCCGGUUGUGAUACAGCCCGGGAUUGAACCAGGGUGUGUAGUGAAGCCUCUAGCAGUGAGAUGCAGUGCUUUAGACUGCUGUGCCACUCGGGAGCCAUAAAUGGGGGAGGAGAAGCUGAUCCUAGAUCUGUACUCAGGGGAACGUCACCCCGGAGGACUACAUCAUCUAACGGGAAUGUCCAUUGUCUAAAAUGGCUUCCUCUCCUUGCCUAAUUUUAUUAAUUCAUUUGUCAGGGACCAUGCACAACAAAUGUUGCACCAGAUUUAGCUACAUAUCCAAUUUUGAUUUGUGGUCUCCUUGACUCUUUUCCUUAAUUUACACCCAUCUUGUCUUUUUAGACCAAUGCAAGAAAUGAAGGAGAAGAGCUGAGGAGAAGAAGCCCCUUUGGACUAUUGAAAUACACCCCUGUUCUCUCAGCAUUAAGCUACAUGGUGAUGGUAGAGCCAAUUUAGAUGUAGCAGUUACAGGAGCAGGUCCAACAUGGUCCUGGAAGACCACCAUAUCGGCACCAAAUCAGCACAAUUUCCAUUUCCAUUGACGAAGUAUCUUGACUAAUAACAUGUCUUGAACAUGGUUUAUAAAAGCCAUUGAAAAAGAGUGCUACCAACUUGUGCCAGUUUAGGUGUAGGUCCAACUGUCCCGGCAUCCCGGUUAGAGGAUGUAGAAUGACCAGCAGGAGACAGGGAGACAAGGCACACUUUAUUACCAAACACACACACAUGGCAAACGGGAAGAGGAGACUAUUUGUAGUUUAAGUGUUGUAGUGGUUGUCUACAAGAGAAGAGCAUGUAUUACAUAAUGGCAUUACAGCCUAAUGACUAUGUAAUAGCAAUGAGAAUGACACGUGUACUAUAAUGGUCAGGUAUUAGCAUAGGCUAAUGUGGUACACAGUAGGACACAAUAGUACACUAUGGACAGAGCUACUAGCAUGUAUUGUAUUAGCAGCUAGGCUAACAGUAUGGCUUACAAAGAGAAGCUUGUAGCAGCCAACAAAUGUAGUACACAUGACAGUAUAUACAGGUGGGCUAGCAUAGUAUACAAUUAGUGGCUAGCAUAUAUAAGAUAUACAAGAAAAGCUAGCAUGCUAGGUUAGCAGGCCACAGGCUGUGGGUAGUAGCACACAGUAUAUACAGUGUAGGCUAGCACACUAGGCUAGUAGGCUAUAGGUACAGCAUUAUGUACAGUAGGGAUGAGUUUGCAUUAGGGUUAGUAGUUAGCAUGCGAUUUGGCUAACAAUGGACAUCUUGGUAGAGGCUACGAUUCGUAUGAGGAAGCGACCGGAUGUUAUGACGUCACCGGUAGGCCAUUUUAGGUGAGUAACUAGAAGGACUAACUGGUAGCCAUCUUGGGUUCCAUAACAACAAUGAAGGGAUUACUCAUCAUGACCUGGAUACUGUACUGUAGCCAGAACUAUGCCAAGUGGGUAGAUAACUUGUUUUAUGUUACAUGGGAUUGCAGACAGAAGUAAUCCUGACAUAUAACUACUAAUGAAACGUGUAAGCAUAUAAUACCAUAAUAAUAUCAGCCUAUAACAUGUAAACAGAUGUUUUGUAGUGAUUCUUAUGUUGAAAAUGUAAAGAAUAUUUGCUCCUCUGGUGUGUAAUGAGGAGCAACCAGAUGCUGAAUUUGACAUAUUUAUUAAUUUGCUUGUUCCAGUUACUAAUAAGCAUGCACCCAUUAAGAAAAUGACUGUAAAAACUGUUCUCUGUGGCUUGAUGAGGAACUGAAAAAUAUUAUGGUUGAGAGGGAUGAGGAAAAAAGAAUGGCCAAUAAGUCCGGCUGCACAGCCUAUUCGCAAACAUACUGUACAUUAAGAAAUCAUGUGACUAAACUGAACAAAAUAAGAAGAAACUGUACUUUGAAACAAAGAUAAAUAAUAUAAAGAAUGAUAAUGAAAAGAUUUGGAGCACCUUAAAUGAAAUUUGGGGCAAAAAGGCAACCUUGGCUCCAUCAUUCAUUGAAUCAGACGGCUCAUUCAUCACAAAACCCACUGAUAUUGGCAACUACUUCAAUGAUUUGUUCAUUGACAAGGAUAGCAAACUUAGGCAUGACAGGCCAACAUCAAAUUCUGAACCUACACAUCCAUGCAUAACUGACUAAAUUAUGAAAGACAAGCAAUGUAAUUUUGAAUUCCGUAACUUGAAUGUGGAAGAGGUGAAAAAAUUGUUGUCUAUCAACAAUGACAAGCCACCUGCGUCUGACAACUUGGACGGAAAAUUACUUAGGGUGAUAGCGGACGAUAUUGCCACUCCUAUUUGCCAUCUCUUCAAUCUAAGCCUAAAGGAAAGUGUGUGCCCUGAGGCCUAGAUGGAAGCAAAAGUCAUUCCGCUACCUAAGAAUACUAAAGCACCCUUUACUGGUUCAAACAGCCAACCAAUCAGCCUGUUACCAACCCAAAGUAAACUUUUUGAAAAAAAUGGUGUUUGACCAGAUACAAUGCUAUUUCACAGUAAAAAUAAUAAUUAUUUGGUCUCUUCACAGUCCCCAAAUCCAGAACAAAUUAUGGGAGGUGCACAGUACUACAUAGAGCCAUGGCUACAUGGAACUCUAUUCCACAUGAAGUUACUCAUGCAAGCAGUAAAAUUAGAUUUUAAAAAACCAGAUAAAAUACACCUUAUAUGUGAAGACACACACAGGCACAGACAUAUAGAUACACUCACACAUGAUAACAUACGCACACUAUACACACAUGUACACGUGUGCAUUUUAUGUCGUAGAUAUAUGGUAGUAAAGUAGUGGACUGAGGGCACACACAUAAUGUGUUGUGAAAUGUAUUGUAAUGUUUUUAAAACUGUAUAACUGCCUUAAUUGUGCUGGACCCCAGGAAGAAUAGCUGCUGCCUUCGAAUUAAUUUGGGAAGGGUCCAUAAGUGUGUUGAGGUGGAGGACAGAUAGGUGGUUGGCCGAAGCCUUAAGGGAGGAACAUAUUUUUUUGUAUAUGACAGUAAAACAUUCUUGUGACACAAAUUUGUUGGCCCCUUCAAUUCUUACACAUUUUCUCAUAAAACAUAUAUGCCAACACUCAGCCGCUAAGAAAAUGUGCUUAACUACUAAACUUAAAACCAAUCAGAACUCCCGUACAUACCCCUCGUGAUGAAGGCUAUGCUUCUGUCUAUGAUGUAAACAGCCUCUUGUGAAAACGUGAGCUGCUGUCUGAUGAAGAGGAACAUACAUAGCUAGCGAGCUCCCAGACUGAAAAAAGAUAAAUAUCUGUUUUUGAGUGCACUUGAAAUAUGUAGCAUGCAAUAAGAAUUGUCUUGAUGAUAUGAAGACAAUUUAGCCAAUUUAUUGAAAGCUAGCCAAUGUCACAGACUAGCCUACUGUAAAUGUCAACUUGUUUUUCAUUAGCCAUCUCUCUGUCAGUUAAUUAAAUUGUUGAAUCAUGUUUUGGCAUGAUUAUACAGUAUGUCUCAUUUCAAGUAACUAGCUGCAGGCUUAAAGAAACAUAUACUUUGCAUAGAAACCCAAAUAAAAGCAUGUAGAUAGAAA
Molecule: long non-coding RNA, 4571 nt
Organism: Salmo salar (Atlantic salmon)
Lineage: Eukaryota; Metazoa; Chordata; Actinopteri; Salmoniformes; Salmonidae
Product: mammalian ependymin-related protein 1
Source: RefSeq, a predicted model, not a curated record